This is a long non-coding RNA of Orcinus orca (killer whale), 12058 nucleotides long. RefSeq lists it as uncharacterized. The record is from RefSeq and is a predicted model, not a curated record. NCBI's taxonomy places the organism in Eukaryota, Metazoa, Chordata, Mammalia, Artiodactyla, Delphinidae. The transcript has 6 exons.
AGGAAGUGUUCUAAUUUCAUUCUUUUACAUGUAGUUGUCCAGUUUUCCCAGCACCACUUAUUGAAGAGGCUGUCUUUUCUCUAUUGUAUAUUCUUGCCUCCUUUAUCAAAGGUAAGGUGGCCAUAUGUGCAUGGGUUUAUAUCUGGCCUUUCUAUCCUGUUCCAUUGAUCUAUAUUUCUGUUUUUUGUGCCAGUACCUUACUGUCUUGAUUACUGUAGCUUUGUAGUAUAGUCUGAAGUCAGGGAGCCUGAUUCCUCCAGCUCCAUUUUUCUUUCUCAAGAUUGCUUUGAGGUCUUUUGUGUUUCCAUACAAAUUGUGAAAUUUUUUGCUCUAGUUCUGUGAAAAAUGCCAUUGGUAGUUUGAUAGGGAUUGCACUGAAUCUGCAGAUUGCUUUGGGUAGUAUAGUCAUUUUCACAAUGUUGAUUCUUCCAGUCCAAGAACAUGGUAUAUUUCUCCAUCUGUUUGUAUCAUCUUUAAUUUCUUUCAUCAGGGUCUUAUAGUUUUCUGCAUACAGGUCUUUUGUCUCUUUAGGUAGGUUUAUUCCUAGGUAUUUUAUUCUUGUUGUUGCAGUGGCAAAUGGGAGUGUUUUCUUAAUUCCUCUUUCAUAUUUUUCGUUAGUGUAUAGGAAUGCAAGAGAUUUCUGUGCAUUAAUUUUGUAUCCUGCUACUUUACCACAUUCAUUGACUAGCUCUAGUCGUUUUCUGGUAGCAUCUUUAGGAUUCUCUAUGUAUAGUAUCAUGUCAUCUGCAAACAGUGACAGCUUUACUUCUUUUCCGAUUUGGAUUCCUUUUAUUUCCUUUUCUUCUCUGAUUGCUGUGGCUAAAACUUCCAAAACUAUGCUGAAUAAGAGUGGUGAGAGGGGCUUCCCUGGUGGCGCAGUGGUUGAGAGUCCACCUGCUGAUGCAGGGGACGCGGGUUCGUGCCCCAGUCUGGGAGGAUCCCACAUGCCGCGGAGAGGCUGGGCCCAUGAGCCAUGGCCGUUGAGCCUGUGCGUCCGGAGCCUGUGCUCUGCAACGGGAGAGCCCGCAACAGUGAGAGGACCGUGUACUGCAAAAAAAAAAAAAAAAAAAGAAAAUAGUGGUGAGAGUGGGCAAGCUUGUCUUGUUCCUGUUCUUAGUGGAAAUGGUUUCGGUUUUUCACAUUGAGAAUGAUGUUGGCUGUGGGUUUGUCAUAUAUGGCCUUUAUUAUGUUGAGGUAAGUUCCCUCUAUGCCUACUUUCUGGAGAGUUUUUAAGUAUAAAUGGGUGUAGAAUUUUGUCAAAAGCUUUUUCUGCAUUUAUUGAGAUGAUCAUAUGGUUUUUCUCUUUCAAUUUGUUAAUAUGGUGUAUCACAUUGAUUGAUUUGCAUAUAUUGAAGAAUCCUUGCAUUCCUGGGAUAAACCCCACUUGAUUAUGGUGUAUGAUCCUUUUAAUGUACUGUUGGAUUCUGUUUGCUAGUAUUUUGUUGAGGAUUUUUGCAUCUGUGUUCAUCAGUGAUUUUGGCCUGUAGUUUUCUUUCUUUGUGACAUGUUUGUCUGGUUUUGGUAUCAGGGUGAUGGUGGCCUUGUAGAAUGAGUUUGGGAGUGUUCCUCCCUCUGCUAUAUUUUGGAAGAGUUUGAGAAGGAUAGGUGUUAGCUCUUCUCUAAAUGUUUGAUAGAAUUUGCCUGUGAACCCAUCUGAUCCUGGGCUUUUGUUUGUUGGAAGAUUUUUAAUCACAGUUUCGAUUUCAGUGGUUGUGAUUGGUCUGUGUAUAUUUUCUGUUUGUUCCUGGUUCAGUCUCGGAAGGUUGUGCUUUUCUUCGAAUGUGUCCAUUUCUUCCAGGUUGUCCAUUUUAUUGGCAUAGGGUUGCUUGUAGUAAUCUUUCAUGAUCCUUUGUAUUUCUGUGGUGUCAGUUGUUACUUCUCCUUUUUCAUUUCUAAUUCUGUUGAUUUGAGUCUCCUCCCUUUUUUUGUUGAUGAGUCUGGCUAAUGGUUUAUCAAUUUUGUUUAUCUUCUGAAAUAACCAGCUUUUAGUUUUAUUGAUCUUUGCUGUCGUUUCCUUCAUUUCUUUUUCAUUUAUUUCUGAUCUGAUCUUUAUGACUUCUUUCCUUCUGUUAACUUUGGGAACCCCUCCAUCUUACCCCUCCAUGAGCAAAUUGAGACCCCAGGAGAAUAUAGCGACUUGCUCAAGGAAAUGCAGCUAUGCUCUUUUCUCAUCAGUAUCAUCUUUGUAGCAUUUUCCUCCCAAAAGCAAACUCAAAUUCUCUAAGAUUCAUCCCACUUAAAUGGUAAAAUUCUUUUAUCCGUAUUAAAACUCUUACAAUUUUUAUAGACUAAUUUUUCUGAGAAGUCAGGACACCUUAUAGUCCUUUUCUCUCAUUUCACAACAUAUUAAGUCAGGGACAUAGGCUCCUGGGGACAGUUAAUACUCAGAAGGUGUGGUAUGACUUGUUCAAGAUAAAAAGGAAUUGAGAACAUGAGCUGGAAGUGACUUAGAAACCAAAUCUAUAUUUAAUAGAAGUGACUUUUCGGAGGACACCCAGCAAAGAAAAGGCUUUAGAUGUGCGAAAUCACUAUUAAAAUCACACUAUAUGUAGGUUAUCAGGGAGGAGGGCCUAUUUGACUCUGUGAAACUUAGACCCAGUUUAUUUUCUUACCCUAAUCCUUCUGCUUCCACGUCUAAUCAAGGCUAAACCAUGCCACAUAUAUCUUUGCUUUUAAAUGAUUUCCUCACUGUUUGUACUUAAUACUUCUAUUUUCUAUCUUGUGUUACAUAAACCAACCAAACCAACAAACAAAUCGAUAAAUGAAAGGCCAAUAUCUAAUUCUCAUCUGUUUUGCUAUGAUGUAUGUACUUUCUUCUGUCUUCAGUUGAAUAGGAAACAGGGUCUCCAUAAACCAUCUGGUCUUUCGCUGGACUUGGCCAGGCAGACAGAAUGCAGGGUCACUUCUCAGAGACAGAGCAUUUGUUCUUUCGUACUUUCUUGACUGUUCCUUGAUGAACUAUGUUUGUUAAAUCUUUCUGUUUUAUUCCAUAUCUUUGUAUUUGACCCUAAAAGCCAGUAUUCUGCUUUGUUUUAUGUUUCCUGUUAACAAUUUCCCCUUGGUCUGAAUGGAGAGUGCCACAGAAUUAAAAACAAUAUGGGGAUUGGGACAAAACAUCAGUUGUAGGAACUGGAAGAUUUAUAAUCUUAGGUAGAAAGUAAUAGGAAAACCUUGCUGCAGAAAAAACAAACAAACAAACCCCAAAAUAAUCCCAGAAAAGUCAUACAGUGAUUUGAGAUUUGUGAAACUGUAGCAAUGUGAGUGGACAUUACACUUGAAGAGAAGGUUACUGACCAGAGGAUAUGAGUGAUGGAUAACCUUCAUUUUUAACUUCAGUUCUAGUUUCCUCUGGCAUACAUGUCAGAGUAGUAAUACGCUCGUGGUGGUUUGUGUUGAGGGAGCAGUUUUGGCUUCUCUCUACUUUAUUCUUAUAUGAAAAGGUCAUUUCCUACCACUAGAGAUGAGAAUAUGUCGAUGGUGUUCUCUCUUUUAUUUUCAGCAGUGUAUCUAUGAUCUUUCCAAAUGAUUCAUGUAGAUAAAACAUUAACAUUAUGGGGCGGGGGAAUGUUCUUUCUUUCCUUUUUUUAAAGAGUUUUAAGUAGCAGUGGCUCCCAAUUCUAUAGUGUGACUUUGGGUGGAUAAUUGCUAUAGACUACUGUAGACCUUUGUUUUCUUCCCCCUGUAGGGGAUUGACUUUAACCGUUCUCCUCUGCCAAACCUUUGAUCCGUGCAUGACAUUUCAACCCCACCACUUCCUGUGUUCUAUUCUGCCAAAGAAAAUUGCAUUUUCUAUUUCUGGAUAAAGCAUGGUUGUUUGUGUCAGUCAAUUUAACACAAUACAACAGUUCUUAUCUGUGCAGAGGAAGCACUAAUAAGAUUCCAGCAGGAGAUGUGUCCUGAGCCCAUGACCAAGCCUCCCAUUGGGCCCGGAAGACGGAAGCCACAGUAAUCCAUUACCGACAAGGCUACUUAGUGGUGAUGUAGCACCUUUUUGUCUUGGAGACCUCCAGGUAGUAAGAAGUCCCAUUUCCUGCCCUAUACACUCAUCCCACAAAUGAUACAUGGGUGUGAAAGAAAUCGGUUGUGUGGCAGAGUGGAAAGGGCAGGUAUUUUGGAGAGUCUCACCUUGCUUUUUUGAUCCCUGCUCUGCCAUUUACCAGCUCUGAACCCUUAGUCAUGUUACAUACCUUUUCUGAGCCUCUGGUUCCUCAUGGAAAAUGAGGAUAAAGAUACAGUUUCUCACUUGCAGAGUUAGUAGGAAAAUGAAAUGAGGUAAUGAACACAAGACUCUUAGCACAGGGCACACUCCACUGCAGGUGCUCUAGAAGUAGCUAUUGUCAUGAAAGUGCUCCUAUUGGUAAGAAUAUAUUGCAUUUUGAUGAAGUAAGCAGUUCUUACUGUGAGAUGUCUUUUGGUUAAAAUGGAGGUAUGGACCUCCCACCUUUUUGUUCCAUUGAGUAGAUCAGCUGUGGGAAAAGUUUGAUUUUUCAAAGAAAUCAAAGAAAUAUUUGAUUUCCCUGCUACUUAUACCUUAAUUCAUUAAAUCGUUUAAUGAAGGCCUACUGGAUGCUGUGCACUGUUCUGGAUGCCUGAAUCUAGAAGAAACAACAAAAAAGCAAAGAGGCGAUGUGAUGGAGAGGAAAGAACAUGGGUUCCGGCAUGGGCGAAUGUAGCGUCCCAUUCUGGCUCUGCUAUUUACUAGUAUUCUGUGAUUUGGGCAUGUUAUUUAACAUCUCUGAGACUAGUUUGUGGAUUUCUAAAAUGUGGACAAUAGUACAUGCCUCACAAGGCUGUGAUAACAGAUAAAAGGCAGUUGUAAUCUGGGAUGAUAUUCAAAAUAUUUACUAACCAGUAUGGGAAGGGCAUUGACUAAUCAGAAAGAACCAGCUUGGGGCUUCCCUGGUGGCGCAGUGGUUGAGACUCCGCCUGCUGAUGCAGGGGACACGGGUUUGUGCCCUCGUCCGGGAAGAUCCCACAUGCCGCGGAGCGGCUGGGCCCGUGAGCCAUGGCCGCUGAGCCUGUGCAUCCGGAGCCUGUGCUCCGCAAUGGGAGAGGCCACAAUGGUGAGAGGCCCGUGUACCGCAAAAGAGAAAAAAAAAAAGAAAGAAAGAACCAGCUGUAGAAAACCAGUAAACUAGUAGGUAUCAGUGUAUCAGUAGAAUACAAGCCCUUCUAGACACCCUGCUAGAAGCCCAGUGCCUAGCAUUUAGUAGGGAAGAGCCCAGGUUUUAGUUUGGGGGUUGUACUGUUUAUAUUUUUAAUUUUCUAUAUAUUAUGAUAUUUUGACAUCUUAAAAACCCUUCUGGCUGGAGAGAGACUGGCCCUUCAGGGACUAGCCAAUUCUUAGAGAUAGCAAAGGGCUCAGCCGGGAACAUGCCUUUGAUAAAGCAGGCUAACCAGUCCAGAGCCAUACCUCCUCCAUCUGACCUGGACACCCAGGAUGCAAUAUUCUCCUACCCUAAUCAUCCCAGAGCUCCCUACCAGACAGCUAGGGACUGCCGUAUAGCUUAAAGCCUGAAGAUACUGUUCAAAGUAGCCAAUCCUAAAAUGUUUUCCCUGCCUUGCCUUUCUUGAGGAAACCCCCAGUUAAGACUCUGUUCUAGACUUUUCCUUCCUCCUGUCUUCUGCCUCCUGACUGACACCCAGUGCUCCCGCCUGAGACCCUGUGCAGCACAUGGUGCCUCCUGUUUCUGGGUCUUGUAAGUAUAAUCACCUUAGUUUUCCUGAGCCUCUCCUGACUGACCAUCACAUAAAGAACAAAGAACAGGAGUGGAUGUAUAAACGAUUGCCACACAGUCUGAAACGUGCUAUAAUGAAAGUGCAUAAACGGGCAAAGUGAGCGCAGUGUAGGGAGCCACUAACCUAACUGGGGGAGUCCAGAAAUGAUAAAGAAAAGAAAAGCUGAGCAUUGAAGGAUGAGGAGGAGGGUGUGUCAGGACUGAGAUAACCGUGCAGAGAGAAAAGCGUGCCCCACAGCAUGAAAGUACACACACAUACGACAUGUUUCAGGAGGAAUAGGGCAUGGUGGGCUGGGAGGGGGUUCGAGGCUGGGCAAAGGAUAAAACUGGAGAUGUAGGUAGGGGCUUGAUCUUGAAGGACCUUUGAAGCGACUUUGUUGCAGCGUGAGAAGCCAUUGCAGAGAGGGAGAUGGAGGAGGGAGGAAGACCAGUGAGGGAGGUGGCUGUGUCAGUCGGCGGUGAGACACGAGGCACUGAACUGUGGAGGGCAUCCCAUAGGCAAGCAGGGCACAGACACCUGAGAUGGAGUCUAGUCAUGGACUAGAUGGAACCAAGUCAGUGAUUGGAUAUAGUGGGGAGGGAAGGAAGCAGCUGAAGACAACUCCUGGGUCUAGCUAACGUGACAGCUGCACGUUGGCAUUCCAGAAGAGAGAACAGUGUUGGGGUAAAUCGCUUCUCUCCUGUUUGUGUAACUGCAUCAUUCCCCUGCCUACCAGGUCAAGGGACGCUUUUUUUUUUUUUUUUCAUCUCACAGCUGUAAAUAUUUCAUGCCAGUGGCCAUGUUUCUGUUUUAUUUUGGGAAUAGCACUUCAACUGGUUUCUCAGUUUAAAUGACUCAGGGACUGAAGGGCCAUUUUUGUCUUCGGGGGUAUGUUUGGUGGCGAAGAUGGUAGACAGUUGGGUGUGGGUGAGGACAGGUAGCGCCUGAGGUCUUGCAGCUUAGAAGUAACAUCUAGUCAUUUGAGGAUUACACUGCCAAAGGUGUGUGGGUGUAUCUUUGAAGAAACAAAACAAAACAAAAAGCAUGACCAGCAAUCUGAUCUAUGCUAGGUGUCUAUGAAAAUCAUUCUUUUAUUUAUUGCCUUACCUCUUGGAACUGCCUUACUGGCCUCAGAAAUGACCCCUUUGUUAAAGUAAACUUCCCCAUUGCUCUCAGGGGGUGGUUGGUCAACUUGUCAGUUGAUGGGGUUUGAGGGGAGGAGUUUGGGGUCACUGUUCUGUUACACCGAUUCAUUUAAAAAUUGGCCUUUUGAAAAAAAAAAAAAAAAAAAUUGGCCUUUUGUUUCCUCUCUUCCCCAUCCUUGGUGGCAGCCAGUAAUCGUGCCUUCCCAGGGCUGAGGAGUGUGCAGAAAGCCCCUGGUUUGUGUGAUCCGACAGGAUCAUUUCUGAACAGAGAGGCUGCACACAGCCCAGGCCCUGCUCUCCCCUUCCUGCUCUGAAUGCUGAAACAAUUUCAAUGAGAAGAUGGAUUUAUAAGAGGGUUCCUUUCUUAUCAUAAUGGGAGCCUAUCCAACUUUUUGAUUCUAAAGAGGUUUGCAGUGGUAUCUGGGGAAUGUUCUUGAUGGCACAAUUUUCAGUUGUUUGAAGUUUCCAUUUUUUAAAAAGCCUACUAAGAGCCAGGCUUCUUAUGGCUGUAUGUCAUUCACUCCUCCUGCGGUGACUCCUGUGAGCUACAUUUAUUGAACUCUCCUGUGCGUCAGGCCUGCGCUAAGCACUUCACGUAGGUCGUCGGAAUUCACCUUCACAGUAGCUCUGUGAGGUAGGACUGGGAUCACCUCCAAUCCUCCGACGAGGAGCCUGGAGUGUAGAGAGGUAAAGACACUUUGUUCAGGGUCACUUGGCUCUCAGAGGUCAGCUCAGGAGUCCAACCCAGAUACUCUUAACUGCAGAGUUUGCACCCUUAGCCUUGCCGGGUAGAUAAUACACAUGUUAUCAGUUCUAAAAAAGAUGAACCUGAGACUUAGAAAGGCUUAGAAUCCAGAACCCAGGUCUCUCUGACUUUAUAUUGUUGUCCCAGGAUACCAGUUGUCUCUGCUUAUACCCUGUGAACAAAGCAAAGCUUUAUAUGAACUGUUUUAUCACAAACUGGCCCUGAAUCCUGGGAUCUUCAGAGGGAGCUGAUGAAAGUGGUAUUGGUUUAUGAUGUGGUGAUGCUUCUGGUCUUACAUCUGAUUGCACCAUUCUUUCUCAUCCUUGCUGAUAGAAAGGACAUAAAGUGAGAAUAUUCGCAUCACAAAUUAUUAAGUAUUAAAUCUCAAAGUCAGUUUGGGCCACAUUACUGAUCGCUGCAUAUCAAGGGCUGUGUCAUUAAGGCCAAUAUAUGGGAAGAUUGCUACCUCUUUCUUUGGAGUUUACAACCUUCAGAGAAACACCGGACAGCUAUUUAUUUUUGUAUUUAUGCAAAUUACAUAUACAUACAGAGUGUUAAAACAUAAAAACAACAUAUGGGUUAAAAGAAUUUCUGUAAGUGCUCCAGGCACCUCCAGAUACAGAAAUAGCAUGGCUGCUAAUAACAUGGGCUCCUCAGCAAACAGAGAUCGCAGCCUCAGCCACUCUCACAAUCUGUGAGAUGAGGGGCUCUUUUAGGGAAGGGUACCGUUCUAUAUUUACACGCUAGCUUUCCAGCUUCAUUCAUGCUGACAGAUUGCCAUUUUUAAAGCAGGUUGAUCUGGUGGAUGAGGGGAGACACUGGAGGUGACAGAAUAGGACAGAGCAAACCUCGCUUGGAGGAACCAGCCUGUCCUUUGGAGGUGGAACUAGCCUAAAAUACUGAUCUAUAUCGUAAAGAAAAUUUGACACACUUAGCGGAACUAGAGGCUCAAGCUUUCAAAUCAGAAAUGUUUAGAGGACUGCGUACAACCAGCUCCUAAUGAGCCUAAUCAUCUCUCUUGCUCAUCAGGCAGAACAGAUUAAAAAAAAUUAAAGAAAACCAAAGAGGGAAGAUAAGAAGGAAGAAUGAACUGAGGGCUAUGAGAGUCCAUCUGGUGCCAGCGUUGUGGUUUCAUACCAUAUUGGUAACAGCCAGGGUACGCAGGCCUCUCACUGUUGUGGCCUCUCCCGUUGCGGAGCACAGGCUCCGGACGCGCAGGCUCAGCGGCCAUGGCUCACGGGUCCAGCCGCUCCGCGGCAUGUGGGAUCCUCCCGGACCGGGGUACGAACCCGUGUCCUCUGCAUCGGCAGGCGGACUCUCAACCACUGCGCCACCAGGGAAGCCCGAGAGACUAUUCUUAAUUUCUUGUCAUAGAUGAGGAAACUGAGGUUUUAGGGUUUAAGGGAUUUGCCCAGGAUCAUGCAGCUAGGAAGUGGUACUUAGAAUCUGUAUACAGCUCUUUAUGACACAAGGAGAAGCCAGUUCUUUUCCUACCGUAAGUGGAAAGCUUUCCUGAGAGGCCACAGCACUGCCAAAUGGCCUUUGCAGUCUCUGGGUACAUCUUGCAUUGAUACUUGGCAGAAACCGUGGAAACCAAAGGUGAGCAGUGUGGCCAGAGCCCGGCUGGGGACUCUAGUUCUCCCUCCUUGUGGGCUGCUGGGCAAGAAGGACACACAUCAGGCUUCAUUUGUUCUUUGCACCACAAUGCAGCCCCAGUGCCUAUAGUGCAGAAGGCAGUUAAUUUUCCCAAUAUUCUCUAAUUUUUGGCAUGGACUGAAUGCAGCCAGAGAGACUAAGCCAGGAUUGUAUCAAGGACUUCUGCCUGUGUCUGUGCGGAGGGAUGUGCAGUUGCCAUAGCAGCAAUCAAUCUGCUAAAUAACUGGUAGCAUAAACUGAUUCAAAGGCAAAAAGACUGAUUUGGGUCAGGGAAUCACACUCUAUAAAAAACAGCGUCUCUGUGACUUCUGAGGGUAUUUUAGCCUUUAUGGUUGGCCCUGGAAAUGCACACUGAGUGAAUGCUCAGAGGCAACAGGGGUGUGUGUGCCUCAAGAGAUGAGCACUAUGCUGCUUCUGGGUAGUUAGAAUAGGGAAUUCCGUGGAACGUGCUGUAAAAUUGCUCUUCUGCUGCAUAGCAAUUCCCAGAGGCUUAGGACCAGUAACUAGCAAAAAGAUCAUGGUAUCCAGUUACUGAGUUCUCCCCAUGUCCUGGGAUGCUUCUCAGUGCGUUACAGGCAUUUGGUCAACAAUCUUGCAAAGUGGGCUUUAUCACCACCCAUCCACACUUGUGGACACCGUUGUUAAUAUGCCCAGACUUGGGGAACCAGCCAGGGGCGGUGGAUUCAGGAUUCAAUCUGAGAUGUGCUUGAUGCAGCUGCUAGGCCCUCUCCACCCUGCCACACAGCUUCUCUUCCUUGGACUUUUCUCAAAAGGAAAGGACAUUUCUUCUUGGCCACUCACAUAGCAAGAUUGCAGUGUUCUGAUUAUGCUUUGUAUAUUGUGAAAUGUUUGCUAAUUAUUUUUUUUCUUUUUUUUUGGUGAUACGUGGGCCUCUCACCACUGUGGCCUCUUCUGUUGCGGAGCACAGGCUCCGGACGCGCAGGCUCAGUGGCCAUGGCUCACGGGCCCAGCCGCCCCACGGCAUGUGGGAUCUUCCCGGACCGGGGCACGAACCCGUGUCCCCUGCAUCGGCAGGCGGACUCUCAACCACUGUGCCACCAGGGAAGCCCUACUAAUUAUUUUUAAUCCCACAUGAAAACUAAGUCUUAGGGCAAUAGGACUUGGUAUUCCCAGAGCUAGCGCUGCCCAGUUUGGGUGAUUCAGGUUGUCAUACUGAAGGGAAAAAAAGAGGCUAUUUUUUCUUUUACUCUGGUUUUUAGAACAGUACCAGGUAUCCUCCUAUCUCCAUUUUGGUGUAGCCUAGCUCCUGGGUAAACCUGGGCUAGGAGAAAGCAUUUCUGAACCAUAGUAAGAGGUGGCAUGUUAUAAAGCAGAAAGCAGUGGCUUGAUGUCUGUGUUGAGUUACGGGCUCUUCCACUUUCUAGCUGUGUGAUCUUGGGCAUUGUACUUCUAUUCUUUCAGCCUAGUCUCCACUCUGUAAAAAGGGGAUGAUAGUGAUGGUGAUACCACCUAACUCUCAGUUUCCUAGAAUGCUCUUUGGAGUGAGACAGAGGUAAAAAUUGCCACACAACCUUUAGGAGUAAAGAUGCCUGCGGAUUCCUUUGCAUCAAGGAGUCUAUUCCCUCAUCCAUGAAUCCCAAUUUUUAAUUUUUGUUCUUUUGCUUAGUGGCUCUGAAUUAAAUGUUUGUAGAAUGAAUAAAGUCUAGGAAAGCACUUCAGAGAGUGCCUGUCACAUGGUUAUGGUUUAAUAAAUAUUAGUUUCUUAUUUAAACAAAGCUUAAAAAUUAUUCGAUCAUCCUUCACCUUUAGAUCUAGUUUGUAGGUGCUAGUUAGACUUGGUACUCCAGAGGAAUUUGAGCCCUGGGAGCCCAGAGGAAGGAGAUUAAGCCUUGCCUUUGUGUUUUCUGUUCCCUAUUUCUGACUCCGUGACUGAAAGUCCAGAGGUGAGCCGAGCACUGUGAACUGAAUUCCCGUCUGGAAGUCUCACCUUUCCAGGGUCCGCUGCCACAGAGCUGGCUCAGGAAACUCUGGAAAUGAACUUCAUGCAGUGUGCAAUUUGACUCUGCCGUGCCAGCUGGAAUACACCUUUAGGAGCUGAGUAGCACUGUGCUAGGUACUGAAGACACGGUGGUGGACAAGACAGAGCUCCUGCCCGCGUGAAGCUUACAUCCUAGUGCUGGAAGGCAAUGAAAAGGUUUAAAGUGGCGGAUCCUGUCUUAAGACUAGUGACCCCAAGAUAAAAAUUCAGGAGAAAGAAUGGAGAUGACAGGUGGAAAUGGAAGGGGUGUGGGAUGAGACCUGACAUGCCACUACUUGUAGAGUUCUGUUUAAUAACCAAAGAGGGCGCCAAACAUGUAUUGCACCGAGUGACCUGCAGUGCCAGGAUCUCCUGUAGACCUUGGGAUGGUCUUCACCUUGCAGACAGCAGAACCUGGGACUUCUUGGCCUCCAUAAUCACGCAGUGAGAAGAGAAGCCUGAGAAGAUGCUCCUGGCCUGAGGCAUUCUUUGUGUUGUGAUAUUUUCCUGUUUCUGUGAUGGCCUCAGUAUAUGAGCAUAUUGACUGAGGGCCUUCAUAUAUUGAAAAGGUCAUGUCCCAGGAGAAAGGCAACGAGCCCCAAUGCUCUGCCUUAUCACUUCGAGGAAGAGAUGGCCAAAGAGAAUGAACCUCCUAUUCCUAUCCUGGGGCCUGCUAACCCUGAGAAACCACCUCCUUGGAAAGUGUUCUGGAUUUCCUUAGUUUCUCCAAUGCAAACGAAUACUCACCAGUGCCACAGAGACAUAUACUAAGGCAAGUGCAAGUUUACCAAGUUGCUACCUGAGUAAGCUCUUCCU